RNAcentral lists this long non-coding RNA (1545 nucleotides) under Marmota monax (woodchuck). The record is from RNAcentral. Lineage: Eukaryota; Metazoa; Chordata; Mammalia; Rodentia; Sciuridae.
CCACCCUUUUGUUAUUGAGAAUAGGAUUGCUGUGAACUCUCAUGUACACGUAUUUGAACACCUUUUAAAAAUUCUUCUGGGGUGUAUAUCUAGGGGCAAACUGCUGGGUCACCUGCUAACUCUCUGUCCAGCUGAGGAACUGACAAGCUGUUUUUUGUCUCCACCUCCUUGGACCACAUGGAAUUUUCCUUCUCUACUCUAGUCCUUCUGGGUACUGUGAAAUGAUAUCUCAUUGUGAUUUGGAUGCUCUCGUGUAUUGUGACCAGCAGAUUACUGGUGAACAUUCAUGUGUUCCAGAUUUUUACUUUUAGCAGAUCAAUGUAAUGAAGCCUUUGAAUAUUUAUAUUUGGAUGAUAUGUGAAUAUUUUUCUAGAUAAAAUCCUAGAGGUAGAAGUGCUAGAGGAAGUGGAUUUUGUAUUUAAAAAUUUGGUAAAUUUUAAAAAUAUUUUAACAAUUUAUAUACCAUAAAGAUAUUUGAAGGUCCAUUUCUGCCUUUUGAUAGUCGAAGCUUUCUGUUACUUAGAACAUAGCAUCUGUCAAUCCCUCUGUCCUCCCUUCUUUCUUUACCUCUCUGCAAAUGUGGAACAAUCCAGGCAACAGCGACUGAUUGUUCACCACAACAUGCCAAAGUUUUUCUGGAGUCAAAAUAAGAACUUAAAGACAAAGUUACCAAAACCAUUAAUUUGGUGUCUUAAAAAUCCUUUUUCCUAUUUGAUUUUUCCUGAACGUCUUUUUGGGGUUCAUCUCCGUGUUGUGUUUUCUCCUCUGUGAAUUGCCUCUUUAUGCUCAUAUUUUAUUCUGGAUUGUUUUGCUUUCUUUCCAUAGACCUGGUUGAAGGCCUGAUAUAUGAAAGAUACUAAUCCUUCUUUUUUUCUCUCUGAGAUGGACAUUAUUUCUUCCUGUUUUUCUCAAACGUGUCAAGCUGUUCUAGUCUUGGGGUUGGCACCACUAGGUCCACAGUCUAGAAGGCACAGGCGCAGGGCUUCCUAUUUCACCCAAAGAGCUACAGCCAAUGUUCAUUUUAUUUUGAUAAAUUGAUCCUGGCUUGGUCAUCAGGACCCUCUUCAAGCUGGUGCCUGUGUCCUUUGGAAUGUUUUCCUCCCUGGGGAAAAUCAGUGGUUCAGCAGUGGAGACCUUGACAAAUGCCCGGGAAGCAUUUGUCUACGAGAUAGAUGAAUAGAUUUGUCCAUGCACAGAAGCCUUUGUGGGUUGGAAACCCCCAUUCUCAACAUCUAGAACAGUGCCUGGUGCAAAGCAGGCAAUGUGUUGCUGAAUGUAUAAUGAACAAGUGACUGAAUGUUGUACUGAGCCCCUGCUAGAUGGGGUUUUCUCCUUUAUCCACCUGUUCACCUUCUGAGGGUCUCCACCUCUCCCAAGCCAUCCAGACCCUUCCUCAGGGCCCCCACCACUUUCUUAACAUGCCUUUGUUGUAACACUUAUCAAUUUCUCCCCUAAUGUGCUGUGAGCGUGAGCCCAGCAGCCAUCUUAUUUGCGUUUUUGCGUCACCAGUGUGUGCUGUAGUACCUGGCAUUUCCACCUCUAGAU